GACGAACGCUGGCGGCGUGCUUAACACAUGCAAGUCGAACGGAAAGGCCCUGCUUUUGUGGGGUGCUCGAGUGGCGAACGGGUGAGUAACACGUGAGUAACCUGCCCUUGACUGUGGGAUAACUUCAGGAAACUGGGGCUAAUACCGGAUAGGAGCUCCUGCUGCAUGGUGGGGGUUGGAAAGUUUCGGCGGUUGGGGAUGGACUCGCGGCUUAUCAGCUUGUUGGUGGGGUAGUGGCUUACCAAGGCUUUGACGGGUAGCCGGCCUGAGAGGGUGACCGGCCACAUUGGGACUGAGAUACGGACCAGACUCCUACGGGAGGCAGCAGUGGGGAAUAUUGCACAAUGGGCGGAAGCCUGAUGAAGCAACGCCGCGUGCGGGAUGACGGCCUUCGGGUUGUAAACCGCUUUCGCCUGUGACGAAGCGUGAGUGACGGUAAUGGGUAAAGAAGCACCGGCUAACUACGUG
RNAcentral lists this ribosomal RNA (468 nucleotides) under uncultured bacterium. RNAcentral describes it as "partial 16S ribosomal RNA". It matches the Rfam family "Bacterial small subunit ribosomal RNA", at positions 28 to 507 of the family's 1533-position model. The record is from RNAcentral.